AUAUAUGCACAGGAGAUAACAUUGGCUGACGCACAAGCAAGAAGUUGACACCUCAUGCCCCUGACAUCUUGAGAGAGAUUUAACACACUGGCACUAAUUUGAUGCAGAAAGAGAAGCCAGGAGACCAGUGAACGAUGAUCCUUGAAGCUGAAGAAUGUGAGGAAAAUUGUGAAGAGGAAAGAAUAGGACAAAGGGAUUCCAUGUAUGAACCAACAUAAGUCCUGGGCUAUACCUCCAAGCUGUGCAUGUGUGGAAUAUACCUAAACACAUAGCAAAGGCUUUGAAACCUGAACUGACAGUGGAACGUCUG
Molecule: long non-coding RNA, 310 nt
Organism: Nyctereutes procyonoides (raccoon dog)
Lineage: Eukaryota; Metazoa; Chordata; Mammalia; Carnivora; Canidae
Exons: 3
Source: RefSeq, a predicted model, not a curated record